GUAAGCGUCGAGCAGGUAAGACGUGUGUGUGCCGAGAAGUGAGUCUGCCCACUGCUUUGUGACGAGUUUCAUUAACUUAAAGGUUUUGUUGGUGUGAGGUUAUUCCUCUUGUGGCGUUGUUGUUGUUGCCGGGCAGAAAGGUAUGUUAGACACCGUACAGUGGUGAUGUUGGUGUGCUCGUGUGUGUGCGUGCGUGUGUGUGUGUGUGUGUGUGUGUGUGUGCAUGCAUGUAGUGAAGGACCUUUACCUUUUCCUAAUGAACAGGAGUAUUUGAAAGUUUCCUGCUGUGUUUAGAGCAUAGGAAAUGUUGCCUGACAUUUCGUGGAAUUUUGUUUAUAGUGUAUUUUUUAACAUCAGUUUGCUACUUGAUAACGGUUAAUCCGCAAUGGAAGUUGCUAUUCCGUAAUAAAAUAAUGCGUUAGUGUUCUAUUAAUGGAAAGUGCCUCUUAAAACGUUUGUUGAGCGCAGCACAUGCUCACAAAUCCGUGGCUUGGGUGUGCAUUGAUAGCAAGGCUGCAAGUUGAUUUUAGUGACUCUUAGGUCUGUCUCCUUUAGUGUAUCUCUGCCUUAUCUCACUGAGCGCAGAUGUAGGCCAAGUUCUGUCACGAAUCUUGGUAUGAGCUACAUGUAGGGUAUUUCGUGGGUUUGUUUUCCUCUUGGUGUCUUGUGUUCAGAUUUAGCUUGUAUAUUAAAUUUCGGAGUUUGUUGCUACUAUAUAGAGUACUGUGGGUAGAUAACGAUACCUGAAGCGAGUUCAACCCCCUUUGGAUUCAAUAUCUAUGCUUUAGUGUAUCGCCGGUACGUGGCAGCUUCGUUCCUACUCGAGAUGGAGGGAGCCUGAACAUCGGACUGCGAUUACCCAGCUGCCUGCCAUACCAGCCACAUCUACGUUCCAGUCUUACCCGGGCUGGGAUCCGUCCUCCCAUCAGCAAUGUAUAGAACCAGGGAGAAGGUCGCCAGUUUCGGGCGUCAGUCAGGAGAUGGAGCACGUCCCGCCAUGACACCGGCGUCCCUACAUCUGCGCGCUAUGAACUUGGUAGAGCAUCUGUUUCACCCGAGCGAACUCGUCAGCCAUAGCGGCGCUCGAGUUUGACUUGUACCCGACCUAGAGUCUGCGAAGCCCUAGCAUCCAUCCUCCUUCUCGUGUGUCAUGUAAUAGCAGUCCAUCUCCAUGUCUCUCUCUUCAGAUGAAGACGCAGACGGCGGAGGCAUGCGGUCCAGACACAGGUCCAGCCACUACUGAAGGGAAAACCAAACCGUGUCCUAACAACCGGUCCUGCCACUACUGAAAGGAAAACCAAACCAACGUGUCCUAACAACCCCGACCCUGCAGCAGGAAACUAGCUCUUCUUGCACUGGAAGACGCGAGCUGUCUCUGUACCUUCCACGGAGGAAAUGGACCCUGCCAUGACAACAGCGGCGUCAUCCAGGGAGGGAGGACAAGACUACCUUGCUUCAUCUAACCUAACCAAUAAAUGUUGCCAA
Portunus trituberculatus (swimming crab) is the source of this 1485-nucleotide long non-coding RNA. RefSeq lists it as uncharacterized. NCBI's taxonomy places the organism in Eukaryota, Metazoa, Arthropoda, Malacostraca, Decapoda, Portunidae. The record is from RefSeq and is a predicted model, not a curated record. The transcript has 3 exons.